UUUAAGAAAUGAUGCUAAAAUUAUUAGAUAUCACAGACUUUAACAAUGCUGAAUAUAUUGUAUAUGCACAUCAGUCUGAUCUGAAA
Molecule: small nucleolar RNA, 86 nt
Organism: Mangifera indica (mango)
Lineage: Eukaryota; Viridiplantae; Streptophyta; Magnoliopsida; Sapindales; Anacardiaceae
Product: small nucleolar RNA Z122
Exons: 1
Source: RefSeq, a predicted model, not a curated record